RNAcentral lists this small nucleolar RNA (90 nucleotides) under Drosophila persimilis. RNAcentral describes it as "snoRNA:GL28021". Lineage: Eukaryota; Metazoa; Arthropoda; Insecta; Diptera; Drosophilidae. The record is from RNAcentral.
UUUAUUUUGAUGAAUAUCCUAACUCAGGAUUCCCUCUUCUGAGUAGAACCCUAAACAACCAUGCUGUUCACUUUUCCCUGUCUGAACAUA